RNAcentral lists this transfer RNA (67 nucleotides) under Marmota monax (woodchuck). Its description in RNAcentral is "tRNA.Ala". It matches the Rfam family "tRNA", at positions 6 to 65 of the family's 71-position model. From Rfam's summary of the family: Transfer RNA (tRNA) molecules are approximately 80 nucleotides in length. Lineage: Eukaryota; Metazoa; Chordata; Mammalia; Rodentia; Sciuridae. The record is from RNAcentral.
GGCUGGGGCUCAGUGGCAGAGCGCUUGCCUAGCACACAUGAGGCCCUGGGUUCGAUCCUCAGCACCA